RNAcentral lists this ribosomal RNA (576 nucleotides) under fungal sp. RNAcentral describes it as "eukaryotic LSU rRNA". The stretch from base 225 to 378 matches the Rfam family "5.8S ribosomal RNA". The record is from RNAcentral. Lineage: Eukaryota; Fungi.
GAAUAAAAGUCGUAACAAGGUCUCCGUUGGUGAACCAGCGGAGGGAUCAUUACAAGAAGCCGAAAGGCUACUUAAAACCAUCGCGAACUUAUCCAAGUUGCUUCGGCGGCGCGGCUCCCCUCACGGGGUACCGCAGCCCCGCCUCUCACGAGGUAUGGGCACCCGCCGGAGGUACGAAACUCUGUAUUAUAGUGGUAUCUCUGAGUAAAAAACAAAUAAGUUAAAACUUUCAACAACGGAUCUCUUGGUUCUGGCAUCGAUGAAGAACGCAGCGAAAUGCGAUAAGUAAUGUGAAUUGCAGAAUUCAGUGAAUCAUCGAAUCUUUGAACGCACAUUGCGCCCGCUAGUACUCUAGCGGGCAUGCCUGUUCGAGCGUCAUUUCAACCCUCAAGCUCUGCUUGGUGUUGGGGCCCUACGGCUGCCGUAGGCCCUGAAAGGAAGUGGCGGGCUCGCUACAACUCCGAGCGUAGUAAUUCAUUAUCUCGCUAGGGAAGUGUAGUGUGCUCCUGCCGUUAAAGACCCCAUCUUUAACCAAGGUUGACCUCGGAUCAGGUAGGAAUACCCGCUGAACUUAAC